RNAcentral lists this ribosomal RNA (396 nucleotides) under uncultured bacterium. RNAcentral's name for it is "partial 16S ribosomal RNA". It matches the Rfam family "Bacterial small subunit ribosomal RNA", at positions 523 to 918 of the family's 1533-position model. The record is from RNAcentral.
AUACAGAGGUUGCAAGCGUUAAUCGGAUUUACUGGGCGUAAAGCGCGCGUAGGUGGCUAAUUAAGUCAAAUGUGAAAUCCCCGAGCUUAACUUGGGAAUUGCAUUCGAUACUGGUUAGCUAGAGUAUGGGAGAGGAUGGUAGAAUUCCAGGUGUAGCGGUGAAAUGCGUAGAGAUCUGGAGGAAUACCGAUGGCGAAGGCAGCCAGCUGGCCUAAUACUGACACUGAGGUGCGAAAGCAUGGGGAGCAAACAGGAUUAGAUACCCUGGUAGUCCAUGCCGUAAACGAUGUCUACUAGCCGUUGGGGCCCUUGAGGCUUUAGUGGCGCAGCUAACGCGAUAAGUAGACCGCCUGGGGAGUACGGUCGCAAGACUAAAACUCAAAUGAAUUGACGGGG